CCUACGGGGGGCAGCAGUGGGGAAUAUUGCACAAUGGGGGAAACCCUGAUGCAGCGACGCCGCGUGAAGGAAGAAGUAUUUCGGUAUGUAAACUUCUAUCAGCAGGGAAGAAAAUGACGGUACCUGACUAAGAAGCCCCGGCUAACUACGUGCCAGCAGCCGCGGUAAUACGUAGGGGGCAAGCGUUAUCCGGAUUUACUGGGUGUAAAGGGAGCGUAGGCGGUAAUGCAAGUCAGAAGUGAAAGCCCGGGGCUCAACUCCGGGACUGCUUUUGAAACUGUGUUGCUAGAGUGCAGGAGAGGUAAGUGGAAUUCCUAGUGUAGCGGUGAAAUGCGUAGAUAUUAGGAGGAACACCAGUGGCGAAGGCGGCUUACUGGACUGUAAAUGACGCUGAGGCUCGAAAGCGUGGGGAGCAAACAGGAUUAGAUACCCGAGUAGUC
This 440-nucleotide ribosomal RNA is filed under the name uncultured bacterium. Its description in RNAcentral is "partial 16S ribosomal RNA". It matches the Rfam family "Bacterial small subunit ribosomal RNA", at positions 338 to 795 of the family's 1533-position model. The record is from RNAcentral.